AUGACAGAGUCCAAUCUGCCCGAUGCGCAAGCGGAGUACGAGAAAGGGUUGGCUGCUCUGGCUGCUGGAUUGGCAGGGCGCAAUCUGAUCUAUGAAUCCG
Molecule: non-coding RNA, 100 nt
Organism: Ruegeria sp.
Lineage: Bacteria; Pseudomonadati; Pseudomonadota; Alphaproteobacteria; Rhodobacterales; Roseobacteraceae
Source: Rfam